Molecule: long non-coding RNA, 805 nt
Organism: Lycium barbarum (goji berry)
Lineage: Eukaryota; Viridiplantae; Streptophyta; Magnoliopsida; Solanales; Solanaceae
Exons: 2
Source: RefSeq, a predicted model, not a curated record
UGUUCAAGGUUUUGGUUAAAACCAAAACCAAACCGAAAAUUUAACCAAACCGAAUAAAAAAACCGACAUUUGGUUUGGUUUGGUUUGGUUUGGUUUUAAAUUUUAAAAACCGAUAAUAUUUGGUUUGGUUAUGGUUAUAUUAAAAAAUAACCGAAUAAAUAACCGAACCAAACCGAUAAAUUAUAUACAUAAAUUUUAUAAUUAUUUAUAUGUAUAAUAUUAGUUUUUCAUAAAUAAUUAUAAAUAUUUUAUACCUUUCAAUCAUUAAUUUGAUUUUUGGUCUACUUAUUUCACACGAUUGUUUAAGGUCUAUGUUUUUAAGAAUAUGUCCAAGCCCAUGUCUUUAAGUCUUUUAACUCUUUAAGUGUUAAGUGUAAACCUACUAACAAAAGCUCACGUUAGAGUCUAAUGUCUUUAACUUAAAUUUUUAGCUUUUCUUUGUCAGCCAUUGGAUUUUAGGUUGUUUAUUUUUUUUUCCCGAAUUCAUACCUUUCUUUUUUCUUGUCUGAAUGGGUCCUAAACUUCUAAUAUUUUUCAUAUGAAAAGAGCAGAGGUUGUAGAUUUGGAGGUUCCUAUAGAAGAUACUUCAGUAACAUCAGCAUUUGCUGUAACUCAAGCACAUGGUAUGUGUAUUAAGAUGACAAAAAUGAUGCAGCCACUACUUAGUUAGUUUUUAGCUCUAUAUGUAAUAGUUUAGCAACUUUGGAUAACUUGAGUAUGAUACUAUCACUAAUAGUGAAAAUAUUUCUAUGAUGUAUGUUCCACCUUAAACGAUAAAUAAAAGUUAUCGUUUGGACAAAAAAAA